GUGAAAUGAUGAUGAUGCAUCCAUUCUCCAAGCAUGCUGCCCUGUCCUCUUGGCGCUUUGGUACUCUCAUUCUGGGGGCUCGGAGCUUUGCAGCCACUACAUUCCCAGCUGUCUUCCAGCAUUCUGUUGGGGACAGUGGGUGGAUAUAGGGCCUGUAGUCAGGAAUGGGACAGUGGCAGCCAAGAUGAUGCCCCUUCUGUUUGGGGUUCCAUUGGGCUGAGACGAAAGCUGAUAGUCUGAUCAC
This 244-nucleotide small nucleolar RNA is filed under the name Notamacropus eugenii (tammar wallaby). RNAcentral describes it as "Small nucleolar RNA SNORD17 (ENSMEUG00000017913.1)". It matches the Rfam family "Small nucleolar RNA SNORD17". From Rfam's summary of the family: The snoRNA HBI-43 belongs to the C/D family of snoRNAs, guiding 2'O-ribose methylation at position U3797 of the 28S rRNA. Pseudouridylation in position U3797 is predicted to be guided by the H/ACA snoRNA ACA48. The record is from RNAcentral. Lineage: Eukaryota; Metazoa; Chordata; Mammalia; Diprotodontia; Macropodidae.